GAGAUACUAAGGGAAGGCAUUUAUUUAAAGUACAGAGGAAAGUCGGGGAGGGGAGGACGGCAGGAAGGGGCAGGAGAGAGGAGGCUAUUUUUUUAUACAAUAUUAAGGGUGGGACACAGCCGGUUGAAUAAGACCUUAAAUGUGAUAGGAAGGUAUUCAACAGGAAAAUGUGAUUAUUGCCAGGAAACAGAGAGCAUGGAGCAUGUCUUGCUACAAUGUGGGUCAGAGGGAAAGAGAGAGGGAAUCAAAGGGAAGGAGAGAGGGAAUCAGAUGGAAAGAGAGAGGGAAUCAGAGGGAAAGAGAGAGGGAAUCAGAGGGAAAGAGAGAGGGAAUCAGAGGGAAAGAGAUAGGGAAUCAGAGGGAAAGAGAGAGGCUGAGAUGUAGUGUGAAGGAAAAGGGAUACAGAAAAUUAGUUUAAAUAGUAUAUUGAGUAGAACGUCAUUAGAUUUAGUCUAAAAUAUUUGGUUAUCUAUUUAGUUUCUCCCUGACUCUGCCACACACUCCAGUACAGUAGGUGACGGUAAUGCAUCAUCAUAAGGUUGGAUGCCAAUCGCUGAUAAACCACAUCAAAGAAGAUAAUAUUUUGCCACCAGAUGGCACUGUUUUAAAAGCAACCAUCUGGUCCACUCAGUCAAUUCAAUUCAUUCGACUUUAUUGACAUGGCAAGUUCAUUAUUACAUUACAUUGUCAAAGUAUACAUAUCGAAAAAUAAAAUAAAACUAUAUAUUUAUAAUAUAUAUAUAUAUAUAUAUAUAUAUAUAUAUAUAUAUUUAUAUAUAAAUAAAUGGUGGGAUCAACAGCAAUAAUAAUGGUAGUAGUGGACAUGGGAUUACCAUUAACAACAACUACAACAACAAUAUUCAUGAGAACAAUAAUAUAUUAAAGCAAUGGUAGUAGCCCCGUGUCAACAUGACUGAGAUAUAUGACAUGACGUGGUAUGAAAGACAAAACAAAACAAGAGGGGAAAUAUUAUCGACAUUACUUUGCACUUUUCACUGGCUGUCCCUCAGGUUGUGGCAGGAGGACACAUAUUUGUCUGCCAAAACUGCACAUUUAGGCUUUUCACCCAAUAAAUAUUAGAUUUUU
Molecule: long non-coding RNA, 1086 nt
Organism: Oncorhynchus tshawytscha (Chinook salmon)
Lineage: Eukaryota; Metazoa; Chordata; Actinopteri; Salmoniformes; Salmonidae
Source: Ensembl